AAAUGAAUCUGCAGUUUAUCAGAUGGAUCUAUAUGAUAAUGAUGGUAAAAGCAUCAAGAAAAUCAACAUCAGUCUCCAGAUUACAGCUCCAGUUUCACAACCUGCCAUAUUUCAGAAAUGUUUGUCACCAGAGCAGAGGACAGUCAGCUGCUCAGCAGAGGGAGACGACACACAGUUCUCUUUUUCUCUGGACAAUAAUCUGUUACUACACACUUAACCUGCUAGUGGAUAUAAUGGAAAUGUCACCAUCAGUUUAAAUGGUCAACUGGAAGGAAACCUGGAGUGUAAAGUUCAGAACAAAAUCAGCAGUAAACAGAUCAUUGUCCGUCUCUCACGUUGUGAAGAGUCACAUUGUCAAGCUGUGAUCGUCUUAGCAAGUGCAACCGUUCUACUUCUUCUUUUG
Molecule: long non-coding RNA, 403 nt
Organism: Xiphophorus maculatus (southern platyfish)
Lineage: Eukaryota; Metazoa; Chordata; Actinopteri; Cyprinodontiformes; Poeciliidae
Exons: 3
Source: RefSeq, a predicted model, not a curated record